Fundulus heteroclitus (mummichog) is the source of this 372-nucleotide long non-coding RNA. RefSeq lists it as uncharacterized. NCBI's taxonomy places the organism in Eukaryota, Metazoa, Chordata, Actinopteri, Cyprinodontiformes, Fundulidae. The record is from RefSeq and is a predicted model, not a curated record. The transcript is spliced from 3 exons.
AAUAUUGUAUCUGAAAAUUAGGUCCUAAUGAAAACUAUGAUCUAUUCCUGCUUAAUGGUUAUUAUUUUGAAAAGGUACUUUUAGUCUGACAAAGAAGUCUCAUUGGAACUGAUAUUAUAGUUUAUUGAAGAUGAAUGUGGUAGAUAUCUAUCAAAAAUUACAAGCUGUCUAUUUUCAAAAUGUAACAUCUGCUUUAUGCUAGCUGGACUGAGGGUAGAAAUUGUGUUUUGGAUUGGAAAGGUUUCCCACCCCUGAACUAAGUGUUGGAGCUCAUUAUGACAAUCCUCAUUCAGAGUUAUUGUAAACAAUUACUAAUUAUAACUUUAAUGUUAGAUUAAUUUUCACAUCAAAUAAACUGCUGUAUUUAAGUUA